Molecule: long non-coding RNA, 1433 nt
Filed under: Chrysolophus pictus (golden pheasant)
Lineage: Eukaryota; Metazoa; Chordata; Aves; Galliformes; Phasianidae
Description: lncRNA (ENSCPIG00010014090.1)
Source: RNAcentral
AGGUGACACCUGAAGGGGUUGGGGACACCCAUGGGUGACAGUGACAUCACUGCGUGUUGGGGACACCUAAAGGUGACACCAAUGGGUGUUGGUGACACCCAUGGGUGACAGUGACAUCACUGGGUGUUGGGGACACCUAAAGGUGACACCUGAGGGCGUUGGGGACACUGAAAGGUGACACGGUUGGCUGUUGGGGGCACCCAUGGGUGAUGGUGACACCAAUGGGUGUUGGGGACACCUAAAGGUGACACCUGAAGGUGUUGGUGACACCCAUGGGGGACGGUGACACCCAAAGGUGACGCCUGAAGGUGUUGGGGACACCCAUGGGUGACGGGGACACUGAAAGGUGAUGCCUGAAGGUCUUGGUGACACCCAUGGGUGACGGUGACACCCAAAGGUGACACCUGAAGGUGUUGGUGACACCCAUGGGUGACAGUGGCAGCGUUGGGUGUCACUUCUUGGCCAGCUUCGCCUGUUUGUGUUUCGGAGGAGCCCAACGGAGACAGAUGGAAUCAACUGGAGGCCAAAAAAACCCCAAACCCGUAAUUAGCGGAGAUGGGGCCCAAAUAAGGGGCGCUAAUGAGGAGAGGGGCGUUAAUUAGGGGCGUUAAUUACCGGUGAUGGGAGGCUUCUUGUACUGGGCGCUCUUGAGGUGUUCCUCCACCAGUUUGGGGGUGACGCAGAUGACGUGUUGCCCCUUCCAGUACUUCACCAUGUUGAGCGACUGCAGGGUGCUGAUGAUGUCAGUCUGCGUGAUGCUGGUCAUCUGGCUGUGAGGGGGGGGUACUGGUCUUACUGGGAGCUCACUGGUCUUACUGGGAGCUCACUGGUCUUACUGGGAGCUUACUGGUCUUACUGGGAGGUACUGGGAGCUCACUGGUCCCAUACUGGUCCCAUACUGGUGUUACUGGUCCCACACUGGUGUUUCUGGUCCCAUACUGGUCCCAUACUGGUGUUUCUGGUCCCAUACUGGUCCCAUACCGCUGUUACUGGUCCCACACCGGUGUUACUGGUGCCGUACUGGUGUUACUGGUGCCAUACUGGUGUACCUGAGGUCCUUGAUGGACAGCGUGCCUCGGAAGUCCCUGAGGAUCUCCAGCAGCACCCAGGACCAGUAGCUGCGGUAGCUCAGCUUGCCCAGAUCCGACAGCGGCUUCUCGGGGGAUCCCACGGUGCUCUCCAGCUUGGACAGCUCGUAACCUAAGGGCGGCCCCAAAACGGCCCCAAAUGGCACCGAAAGACCCCAAAAUGACUCUAAAUGGCUCCCAAGUAGGUCAAAGUGGCCACAAAUGGCACCCAAAUGGCCCCAAACGACCCCAAAAUGGCCCCAAACGACCCCAAAUUGGCCCUAAAUGGCUCCCAAGUAGGUCAAAGUGGCCACAAAUGGCACCCAAAUGGCCCCAAACGACCCCAAAAUGGCCCUAAAUGGCACC